AUGCCUCAGAAGCUCUUGCUCGCACUCCCGGUGGCCUCGUGCAAGCUGCGCCACUACUUCCAAGGUCACCCCAUCAAGGUCAUUUCAGCUUACCUGUUGGAGAGAGUGCUCAGAAGCCCCAAUGCAGCGGGAAGGGUCGCCGAAUGGAACAUCGAGCUGCAAGCAUUUGAUCUGGAGUUCAUCACAACCAGGGUCAUCAAGGGGGCUUCUCUCGCCGACUUUGUGGCAGAAUGGACCGAUACCACAGAGCUCGAAGCAGGCAAGAACCGAUCCCUCUCGCGAGGGAGUGAAGCGCCAGAUGGCUGGGUCAUGUACUUCGAUGCCGCAUUUGCGCGCCAGGGCGCGGGGGAUGGAGUCGUGCUCAUCUGGCCCACUCAGGAUAAGCUUUACUACGCCGUGCAGCUCUGCUUCCAGCGGGGUGAGAAGGUCUCCAACAACAUCGCAGAGUACGAGGGUAUCAUCGCCGGCCUCAAGUCUGCGGUGGCCCUAGGGGUGAAACGCCUUACCAUCAAGGGAGACUCGCAGCUCCUCAUCAACUUCUCCAACAAGGUGUACGAGCCAAAGGAUGAGCACAUGGAGGCAUACCUCGCGGAGGGGCGCAAAAUGGAGAAGUAG
This 615-nucleotide ribosomal RNA is filed under the name Triticum aestivum (bread wheat). Its description in RNAcentral is "partial small subunit ribosomal RNA". The record is from RNAcentral. Lineage: Eukaryota; Viridiplantae; Streptophyta; Magnoliopsida; Poales; Poaceae.